GACGAACGCUGGCGGCGUGCUUAACACAUGCAAGUCGAACGGAAAGGCCCUGCUUUUGUGGGGUGCUCGAGUGGCGAACGGGUGAGUAACACGUGAGUAACCUGCCCUUGACUUUGGGAUAACUUCAGGAAACUGGGGCUAAUACCGGAUAGGAGCUCCUGCUGCAUGGUGGGGGUUGGAAAGUUUCGGCGGUUGGGGAUGGACUCGCGGCUUAUCAGCUUGUUGGUGGGGUAGUGGCUUACCAAGGCUUUGACGGGUAGCCGGCCUGAGGGGGUGACCGGCAACAUGGGGAAUGAGGAAGGGCCCAGACUCCUGCGGGGGGAAGAGGGGGGAAAUGUUGCAGAGGGGGGGGAAGCGUGAGGCAGCAACGCCGGGUGGGGGAUGACGGCUUUCGGGUUGUAACCCGCUUUCGCCUGUGAAGAAGGGGGAGGGAGGAGAAGGGAUAAAAAAGAACCGGCAAACACCGUG
This 468-nucleotide ribosomal RNA is filed under the name uncultured bacterium. Its description in RNAcentral is "partial 16S ribosomal RNA". It matches the Rfam family "Bacterial small subunit ribosomal RNA", at positions 28 to 507 of the family's 1533-position model. The record is from RNAcentral.